Small nucleolar RNA from Juglans microcarpa x Juglans regia, 137 nucleotides. The record is from RefSeq and is a predicted model, not a curated record. NCBI's taxonomy places the organism in Eukaryota, Viridiplantae, Streptophyta, Magnoliopsida, Fagales, Juglandaceae.
AUCCCAGAUAAGCUAAAGCUUCGGUGCUUACCUGAUUCAUGGGAGGCAGAAAGCAAAGUUGGGAAGUUUCGCUGAUUAACGCCUACUUUUUUAUUCAUCGCUUUGAGGCGUUUACUUAGUAACUUCGCCAUACAUGC